UGGGGAAUAUUGCACAAUGGAGGGAACUCUGAUGCAGCGACGCCGCGUGAACGAAGAAGGCUUUCGAGUCGUAAAGUUCUUUUAUAUGGGAAGAUGAUGACGGUACCAUAAGAAAAAGCCCCGGCUAACUACGUGCCAGCAGCCGCGGUAAUACGUAGGGGGCUAGCGUUGUCCGGAAUCACUGGGCGUAAAGGGUUCGCAGGCGGAAAUGCAAGUCAGGUGUAAAAGGCAGUAGCUUAACUACUGUAAGCAUUUGAAACUGCAUAUCUUGAGAAGAGUAGAGGUAAGUGGAAUUUUUAGUGUAGCGGUGAAAUGCGUAGAUAUUAAAAAGAAUACCGGUGGCGAAGGCGACUUACUGGGCUCAUUCUGACGCUGAGGAACGAAAGCGUGGGUAGCAAACAGG
RNAcentral lists this ribosomal RNA (403 nucleotides) under bacterium. RNAcentral describes it as "partial 16S ribosomal RNA". It matches the Rfam family "Bacterial small subunit ribosomal RNA", at positions 355 to 776 of the family's 1533-position model. The record is from RNAcentral. RNAcentral also lists the same sequence under 1 other name.